This 65-nucleotide ribosomal RNA is filed under the name Perenniporia ochroleuca. RNAcentral's name for it is "partial 28S ribosomal RNA". The stretch from base 8 to 65 matches the Rfam family "Eukaryotic large subunit ribosomal RNA", at positions 1 to 58 of the family's 3401-position model. Lineage: Eukaryota; Fungi; Basidiomycota; Agaricomycetes; Polyporales; Polyporaceae. RNAcentral also lists the same sequence under 1 other name. The record is from RNAcentral.
UGACCUCUGACCUCAAAUCAGGUAGGACUACCCGCUGAACUUAAGCAUAUCAAUAAGCGGAGGAA